This 253-nucleotide ribosomal RNA is filed under the name uncultured bacterium. RNAcentral's name for it is "partial 16S ribosomal RNA". It matches the Rfam family "Bacterial small subunit ribosomal RNA", at positions 524 to 776 of the family's 1533-position model. The record is from RNAcentral.
UACGUAGGGUGCAAGCGUUGCCCGGAAUUAUUGGGCGUAAAGAGCUUGUAGGCGGUUUGUCGCGUCUGCUGUGAAAAUCCGGGGCUCAACCCCGGACUUGCAGUGGGUACGGGCAGACUAGAGUGUGGUAGGGGAGACUGGAAUUCCUGGUGUAGCGGUGGAAUGCGCAGAUAUCAGGAGGAACACCAGCGGCGAAGGCGGCGCUCUGGGCUGGAACUGACGCUGAGGAGCGAAAGCGUGGGGAGCGAACAGG